RNAcentral lists this ribosomal RNA (469 nucleotides) under uncultured bacterium. RNAcentral describes it as "SSU rRNA". It matches the Rfam family "Bacterial small subunit ribosomal RNA", at positions 26 to 518 of the family's 1533-position model. The record is from RNAcentral.
AGGACGAACGCUGGCGGCGUGCUUAACACAUGCAAGUCGAGCGGAAAGGCCCUUCGGGGUACUCGAGCGGCGAACGGGUGAGUAACACGUGAGUAAUCUGCCCCUAGCUCUGGGAUAGCUCCGGGAAACCGGGAUUAAUACCGGAUACGACCACUUUAGACAUCUGUUGUGGUGGAAAGAAUUUUGGCUAGGGAUGAGCUCGCGGCCUAUCAGCUUGUUGGUGGGGUAAUGGCCUACCAAGGCGACGACGGGUAGCCGGCCUGAGAGGGCGACCGGCCACACUGGGACUGAGACACGGCCCAGACUCCUACGGGAGGCAGCAGUGGGGAAUAUUGCGCAAUGGGUGAAAGCCUGACGCAGCAACGCCGCGUGGAGGACGAAGGCUUUCUGAGUUGUAAACUCCUUUCAGCAGGGACGAUUGUGACGGUACCUGCAGAAGAGCACCGGCCAACUACGUGCCAGCAGCCGC